AGCGACUAUACACCGGUCAUGUAGCCCCAUGUAGCCAAAGCACAGCUAAGCGAAAAAGGGCCUUGACAGGGGUUAGGAGGCAGGCAUUAGGAGGAGGGAAGGAAGUAUGGAGUUAUGGGUAAGUAGGCUGUGUUAUUUAAAUAGGCAGCCAUUUUAAGUGAGCUCACUUCUAAUUUCCUACCUGGCUUAGUUUGUCCUGCCCACCCUCCCUGUAUAUGGUUUCUG
Pelobates cultripes (western spadefoot toad) is the source of this 225-nucleotide non-coding RNA. NCBI's taxonomy places the organism in Eukaryota, Metazoa, Chordata, Amphibia, Anura, Pelobatidae. The record is from the annotation of a GenBank genome assembly.